GGGGGACUCCGAGUGCGAGGGCAUACAGUCCUCGCUUUUCUGUACCGUAAGGUGGUACAGGAACAAGGGCUGGGCAAGACCGGUUCCAGCCGCCGCGGUAAUACCGGCAGCCCGAGUGAUGGCCGAUAUUAUUGGGCCUAAAGCGUCCGUAGCCGUCCGGACAAGUCCGUUGGGAAAUCGACGUGUCUAACGCGUCGGCGUCCAGCGGAAACUGUUCGGCUUGGGACCGGAAGACCCGAGGGGUACGUCCGGGGUAGGAGUGAAAUCCCGUAAUCCUGGACGGACCGCCGGUGGCGAAAGCGCCUCGGGAGGACGGAUCCGACGGUGAGGGACGAAAGCCAGGGUCUCGAACCGGAUUAGAUACCCGGGUAGUCCUGGCCGUAAACGAUGCCCGCUAGGUGUGGCGCAGGCUACGAGCCUGCGCUGUGCCGUAGGGAAGCCGUGAAGCGGGCCGCCUCGGAAGUACGUCCGCAAGGAUGAAACUUAAAGGAAUUGGCGGG
RNAcentral lists this ribosomal RNA (500 nucleotides) under uncultured Halorhabdus sp. RNAcentral's name for it is "bacterial SSU rRNA". It matches the Rfam family "Archaeal small subunit ribosomal RNA", at positions 373 to 872 of the family's 1478-position model. The record is from RNAcentral. Lineage: Archaea; Methanobacteriati; Methanobacteriota; Halobacteria; Halobacteriales; Haloarculaceae.